This 312-nucleotide ribosomal RNA is filed under the name uncultured bacterium. RNAcentral describes it as "bacterial SSU rRNA". It matches the Rfam family "Bacterial small subunit ribosomal RNA", at positions 28 to 334 of the family's 1533-position model. The record is from RNAcentral.
GAUGAACGCUAGCGACAGGCUUAACACAUGCAAGUCGAGGGGCAGCACGAUGUAGCAAUACAUUGGUGGCGACCGGCGCACGGGUGAGUAACGCGUAUGCAACCUACCUAUCAGAGGGGAAUAACCCGGCGAAAGUCGGACUAAUACCGCAUAAAACAGGGGUUCCACAUGGAAAUAUUUGUUAAAGAAUUAUCGCUGAUAGAUGGGCAUGCGUUCCAUUAGAUAGUUGGUGAGGUAACGGCUCACCAAGUCCACGAUGGAUAGGGGUUCUGAGAGGAAGGUCCCCCACACUGGUACUGAGACACGGACCAG